RNAcentral lists this small nuclear RNA (315 nucleotides) under Echinops telfairi (small Madagascar hedgehog). Its description in RNAcentral is "7SK RNA (ENSETEG00000022897.1)". It matches the Rfam family "7SK RNA". Rfam says of the family: 7SK was discovered as an abundant small nuclear RNA in the mid-70s but a possible function has only recently been suggested. Two independent studies have found that 7SK RNA binds the CDK9/cyclin T complex (known as elongation factor P-TEFb). P-TEFb activates transcription by phosphorylating the C-terminal domain of RNA polymerase II. Lineage: Eukaryota; Metazoa; Chordata; Mammalia; Afrosoricida; Tenrecidae. The record is from RNAcentral.
AGAUGUGAGGGUGACCUGGCUGCGACAUCUGCCACCCAAUUGAUCGCCAGGGUUGAUUCGGUUGAUCUGGCUGGUAGGUGGGUGUCCCCUUCUUCCCUCACCACUCCAUGUGCAUCUCCCCGAAGCUGUGUGCUCAGUUGAAGAGGACGACCUUCCCCGAUAGAAGGAGGACCAUCCUUCGGGCAAGGGUAUACGAGUAGCUGCACUCCCUGCUAGAACUUCCAAACAAGUCUCAAGGAGUAAUUUCAUAUCAAGAAGGCACCCUAACCUUAAUGAAUAAGAUCUUGUAGCAGUUAGAUUUUAUGUCAAUUUCUG